This 73-nucleotide transfer RNA is filed under the name Minisyncoccota bacterium. Its description in RNAcentral is "tRNA-Phe". It matches the Rfam family "tRNA". Rfam says of the family: Transfer RNA (tRNA) molecules are approximately 80 nucleotides in length. Their secondary structure includes four short double-helical elements and three loops (D, anti-codon, and T loops). Further hydrogen bonds mediate the characteristic L-shaped molecular structure. tRNAs have two regions of fundamental functional importance: the anti-codon, which is responsible for specific mRNA codon recognition, and the 3' end, to which the tRNAs corresponding amino acid is attached (by aminoacyl-tRNA synthetases). tRNAs cope with the degeneracy of the genetic code in two manners: having more than one tRNA (with a specific anti-codon) for a particular amino acid; and 'wobble' base-pairing, i.e. permitting non-standard base-pairing at the 3rd anti-codon position. Lineage: Bacteria; Bacillati; Minisyncoccota. The record is from RNAcentral.
GCCCAGAUAGCUCAGUUGGUAGAGCAUUCCCCUGAAGAGGGAAGGGUCGUCAGUUCAAGCCUGACUCUGGGCA